This 1089-nucleotide ribosomal RNA is filed under the name Triticum aestivum (bread wheat). Its description in RNAcentral is "partial small subunit ribosomal RNA". The record is from RNAcentral. Lineage: Eukaryota; Viridiplantae; Streptophyta; Magnoliopsida; Poales; Poaceae.
AUGAUUGCCUCCAAUAUUGCCAUCACCCUAGAAUCCAUUGCAGAGAAAGCCUCCACCAUGACAGACCACCUUCAAGUUCAGCAACAGAAGUUGGAGCUACCGCCGGGGUUUAGGUUCCACCCAACGGAUGAGGAGAUCAUAAAAUUCUAUGUGGUCCCCAAGGUGCUCGAUGAAGCCUUCGUCGCUGCGGCGAUUGAGGAUGUGAACCUCAACAAGUACGAGCCAUGGGAGCUACCGGAGAAGGCGAAGAUGGGGGAAAAGGAGUGGUACUUUUACUGCCGAAAGGAUCGCAAGUACCCCACCGGGAUACGAACGAACCAGGCGAAGAAUGCUGGCUAUUGGAAGGCCACCGGAAAGGACAAGGAGAUCUUCCACCCGCCGCUCACACUCAUCGGCAUGAAGAAGACGCUCGUCUUCUACAAGGGCAGGGCACCUAGGGGGGAGAAGACCAACUGGAUCAUGCAUGAGUAUAGGCUUGAGAGCAACAAGCAGCUAACUUCCAACCCGUCCACCGCAACCCGCACCGUCACCAUCACCAACGCGUCUUCCAAGGAACAGUGGGUGGUUUGUAGGAUCUUCCAUAAGAGCGCCGGACUGAAGAAGGUGGUGAUGCCGUCAUAUGUCAUGCCAAUGUCCAUCGGAGCGGAACAUCAGCAGGGGUUCGCCGACUUAGAUACAUUGCCUCCUCUCAUGGGCUAUGAGAUGUCGUCAUCGCUAGCAAAUCCAAUGUUGCUUCCUACAACUUCUCCAUACCAAUUGCGCGACAUCGGUGCUGGCUCAUCGAUAAUGGGUAGCAUGGCGCUUCCUAUUAUGAAUGACCACUACAUCGGGAACCACCACCAGCAGAUGAUGUCAGACCCAACACCACCAUUGUCGUUCUACCAACAACAUCAGCAGAUGAUGAUGUAUGUGGGUGCAGAUCGGGGUUUCAUGGUCGGGGCUGAGCCUGGGUGUGGGCCAUCGUCGAUGGUGUCACAGGAACAUGCUGUGACCGGGCUGAGCAACAACUACCAGGGGAACGCCGCCGCAACAGCAGUUGGCAAGACCUCAUCGAUGAACAUGGGUAUGGAUGACAUGUGGAAGUACUGA